RNAcentral lists this ribosomal RNA (253 nucleotides) under uncultured bacterium. RNAcentral's name for it is "partial 16S ribosomal RNA". It matches the Rfam family "Bacterial small subunit ribosomal RNA", at positions 524 to 776 of the family's 1533-position model. The record is from RNAcentral.
UACGUAGGGUGCGAGCGUUAAUCGGAAUUACUGGGCGUAAAGGGUGCGUAGGCGGAUAUAUAAGUUAGAUGUGAAAAGCCCGGGCUCAACCUUGGUCGUGCAUUUAAGACUGUAUGUCUAGAGUUUGUAAGAGGGGGGUAGAAUUCCAAGUGUAGCAGUGAAAUGCGUAGAGAUUUGGAGGAAUACCGAUGGCGAAGGCAGCCCCCUGGUAUAGAACUGACGCUGAGGCACGAAAGCGUGGGUAGCAAACAGG